This 241-nucleotide ribosomal RNA is filed under the name uncultured bacterium. RNAcentral's name for it is "partial 16S ribosomal RNA". It matches the Rfam family "Bacterial small subunit ribosomal RNA", at positions 15 to 233 of the family's 1533-position model. The record is from RNAcentral.
GAUCCUGGCUCAGGACGAACGCUGGCGGCGUGUUUAACACAUGCAAGUCGAACGAAGAGCGGUGGAAGCUUGCUUCUAUCAAUCUUAGUGGCGAACGGGUGAGUAACGCGUAAUCAACCUGCCCUUCANAGGGGGACAACAGUUGGAAACGACUGCUAAUACCGCAUACGAUCCAAUCUCGGCAUCGAGACUGGAUGAAAGGUGGCCUCUAUUUAUAAGCUAUCACUGAAGGAGGGGAUUG